Molecule: ribosomal RNA, 238 nt
Filed under: uncultured bacterium
Lineage: Bacteria
Description: partial 16S ribosomal RNA
Rfam family: Bacterial small subunit ribosomal RNA
Source: RNAcentral
CCGCACGGGUGAGUAACGCGUAUGCAACCUACCUACUACAGGGGAAUAGCCCGAAGAAAUUCGGAUUAAUGCCGCAUAAUACAGGGGCACCGCAUGGUGAUAUUUGUUAAAAGAUUAAUUGGUAGUAGAUGGGCAUGCGUUCCAUUAGCCAGUUGGUGAGGUAACGGCUCACCAAAGCAACGAUGGAUAGGGGAACUGAGAGGUUUAUCCCCCACACUGGUACUGAGACACGGACCAG